RNAcentral lists this ribosomal RNA (460 nucleotides) under uncultured bacterium. RNAcentral describes it as "partial 16S ribosomal RNA". It matches the Rfam family "Bacterial small subunit ribosomal RNA", at positions 338 to 795 of the family's 1533-position model. The record is from RNAcentral.
CCUACGUGAGGCAGCAGUGAGGAAUAUUGGUCAAUGGGCGCGAGCCUGAACCAGCCAAGUAGCGUGAAGGAUGACUGCCCUACGGGUUGUAAACUUCUUUUAUAAAGGAAUAAAGUGAGGCACGUGUGCCUUUUUGUAUGUACUUUAUGAAUAAGGAUCGGCUAACUCCGUGCCAGCAGCCGCGGUAAUACGGAGGAUCCGAGCUUUAUCCGGAUUUAUUGGGUUUAAAGGGAGCGUAGAUGGGUUGUUAAGUCAGUUGUGAAAGUUUGCGGCUCAACCGUAAAAUUGCAAUUGAUACUGGCAGUCUUGAGUACAGGUGAGGUAGGCGGAAUUCGUGGUGUAGCGGUGAAAUGCUUAGAUAUCACGAAGAACUCCGAUUGCGAAGGCAGCUUACUAAACUGCCACUGACAUUGAUGCUCGAAAGUGUGGGUAUCAAACAGGAUUAGAUACCCCAGUAGUC